This 479-nucleotide long non-coding RNA is filed under the name Solanum tuberosum (potato). RNAcentral describes it as "long non-coding RNA (STUB_LNC008094)". Lineage: Eukaryota; Viridiplantae; Streptophyta; Magnoliopsida; Solanales; Solanaceae. The record is from RNAcentral.
GUAUAUAUGCAUAAUAAUUCAAUAUAUAUUACUUUUGCCACCCACUGACUGAAAUGCAGAACAGCUCAAUUGGCGAAGGAGUUGGUCUGCCACACAGCCAACGCGGGUUCGAACCUCACUGCCAACACUUAAUUUUUUGCUUGCUCCUUUUCUUCUUUACUUUUCUUUUUUGUCUUUUUCAUUAGUAUGUAAAGGUGCUUAAUUUAUUUUUUUUCUCCAUUCAUUCUAAUUAUUUACUAUUCUUUAUUAAUUCAAAUUGACUCCUUUUCAUGAUUAAUUUUUAGUUCUUCUUUUCUUUUUCAUCAGUAUGUAAAGGGCUUAAUUUUUUUUUCUCCAUUCAUUCUAAUUUAUUUACUAUUCUUUAUUAAUUCAAAUUGACUCCUUUUCAUGAUUAAUUUUUAAUUGUUUUUGUUUACUUUCUCUUGCACUAAUUAUUAAUCUCUUGAUAUGGGUGUUACAUGUUUAUUUUUAUCAAUUAA